GUCCACGCCCUAAACGAUGUCAACUGGUUGUUGGGAGGGUUUCUUCUCAGUAACGAAGCUAACGCGUUAAGUUGACCGCCUGGGGAGUACGGCCGCAAGGUUGAAACUCAAAGGAAUUUACGGGGACCCGCACAAGCGGUGGAUGAUGUGGUUUAAUUCGAUGCAACGCGAAAACCUUACCUACCCUUGACAUGUCUGGAAUCUUGCAGAGAUGUGAGAGUGCUUGAAAGAGAACCAGAACACAGGUGCUGCAUGGCCGUCGU
Molecule: ribosomal RNA, 263 nt
Filed under: uncultured bacterium
Lineage: Bacteria
Description: partial 16S ribosomal RNA
Rfam family: Bacterial small subunit ribosomal RNA
Source: RNAcentral